UCCUAUCAGGCUUAGACGGUAGGGUAUUGGCCUACCGUGGCUAUGACGGGUAACGGGGAAUUAGGGUUCGAUUCCGGAGAGGGAGCCUGAGAAACGGCUACCACAUCUAAGGAAGGCAGCAGGCGCGCAAAUUACCCAAUCCUAAUACAGGGAGGUAGUGACAAGAAAUAACAAUACAGAACCUUACGGUUUUGUAAUUGGAAUGAGUUAAGUAUAAACCCCUUAACAAGUAUCAAUUGGAGGGCAAGUCUGGUGCCAGCAGCCGCGGUAAUUCCAGCUCCAAUAGCGUAUAUUAAAGUUGUUGCAGUUAAAAAGCUCGUAGUUAAUCUUCUGUUAAUUUUUAUAUAUAAUAUCACGAUAUUUAUAUAAUAUUAACAUAAUUCAUAUUACUUUUUAGUAUAUGAAACUUUACUUUGAGAAAAUUAGAGUGCUUAAAGCAGGCUAUUGCCUUGAAUACUCCAGCAUGGAAUAAUAUUAAGGAUUUUUAUUCUUCUUAUUGGUUCUAGAAUAAAAAUGAUGAUUAAUAGGGACAGUGGGGUCAUUU
Molecule: ribosomal RNA, 544 nt
Filed under: Cryptosporidium bovis
Lineage: Eukaryota; Apicomplexa; Conoidasida; Eucoccidiorida; Cryptosporidiidae
Description: SSU rRNA
Rfam family: Eukaryotic small subunit ribosomal RNA
Source: RNAcentral